RNAcentral lists this ribosomal RNA (324 nucleotides) under uncultured eukaryote. RNAcentral describes it as "partial 18S ribosomal RNA". It matches the Rfam family "Eukaryotic small subunit ribosomal RNA", at positions 1470 to 1796 of the family's 1831-position model. The record is from RNAcentral.
CCCUUAGAUGUUCUGGGCCGCACGCGCGCUACACUGAUGCAUUCAACGAGUUUCUUCCUGGUCCGAGAGGAAUGGGUAACCUUUUGAAAGUGCAUCGUGAUAGGGAUAGACUAUUGCAAUUAUUGGUCUUCAACGAGGAAUUCCUAGUAGACGUAGUUCAUCAGACUGCAUCGAUUACGUCCCUGCCCUUUGUACACACCGCCCCUCGCUCCUACCGAUUGAAUGCUCAGGUGAGCCAUUCGGACUUUCAUCAUGCUGGUUUCCAGUUUUGAUGAAGGAAAGUCUUGCGAACCUUAUCAUUUAGAGGAAGGAGAAGUCGUAACA